Molecule: ribosomal RNA, 497 nt
Filed under: uncultured bacterium
Lineage: Bacteria
Description: partial 16S ribosomal RNA
Rfam family: Bacterial small subunit ribosomal RNA
Source: RNAcentral
GAUGAACGCUGGCGGCGUGCCUAAUACAUGCAAGUCGAGCGAACAGACGAGGAGCUUGCUCCUUUGACGUUAGCGGCGGACGGGUGAGUAACACGUAGGUAACCUACCUAUAAGACUGGGAUAACUUCGGGAAACCGGAUCUAAUACCGGAUAAUAUUUCGAACCGCAUGGUUCGAUAGUGAAAGAUGGCCUUGCUAUCACUUAUAGAUGGACCUGCGCCGUAUUAGCUAGUUGGUAAGGUAACGGCUUACCAAGGCAACGAUACGUAGCCGACCUGAGAGGGUGAUCGGCCACACUGGAACUGAGACACGGUCCAGACUCCUACGGGAGGCAGCAGUAGGGAAUCUUCCGCAAUGGGCGAAAGCCUGACGGAGCCACGCCGCGUGAGUGAUGAAGGUCUUCGGAUCGUAAAACUCUGUUAUUAGGGAAGAACAAACGUGUAAGUAACUGUGCACGUCUUGACGGUACCUAAUCAGAAAGCCACGGCUAACUACGUG